CCAAUAGCGUAUAUUAAAGUUGUUGCAGUUAAAAAGCUCGUAGUUGAAUUUCGGGAUCAAGGGAUCGGUCAUGCCUUGGUAUGUACUGGUCUUAUUGGUUCUCACCUUCUAAAGAACCAUGAUGUCAUUCAUUUGAUGUUAUGGGGAAUUAGGACUGUUACCUUGAAAAAAUUAGAGUGUUUAAAGCAAGCUUACGCUUGAAUACAUUAGCAUGGAAUAAUGAAAUAGGACAUCAGAUUCUAUUCUGUUGGUUUCUAGGAUCGAUGUAAUGAUUAAUAGGGAUAGUUGGGGGCAUUAGUAUUCAAUUGUCAGAGGUGAAAUUCUUGGAUUUAUUGAAGACUAACUACUGCGAAAGCAUUUGCCAAGGAUGUUUUCAUUAAUCAAGAACGAAAGUUAGGGGAUCGAAGACGAUCAGAUACCGUCGUAGUCUUAACCAUAAACUAUGCCGACUAGGGAUCGGAUGAUGUUAAUUUUUUAAUGACUCAUUCGGCACCUUACG
RNAcentral lists this ribosomal RNA (499 nucleotides) under uncultured Glomeromycotina. Its description in RNAcentral is "partial small subunit ribosomal RNA". It matches the Rfam family "Eukaryotic small subunit ribosomal RNA", at positions 591 to 1092 of the family's 1831-position model. Lineage: Eukaryota; Fungi; Glomeromycota. The record is from RNAcentral.